Molecule: non-coding RNA, 85 nt
Organism: Potamilus streckersoni
Lineage: Eukaryota; Metazoa; Mollusca; Bivalvia; Unionida; Unionidae
Source: the annotation of a GenBank genome assembly
GCUGCAGUGGCUCAAUGGUAAGCAUCCCUGACUCGCAAUCGAAAGAGCGCGGGUUCGAAUCCCACUAGUUAGUUCGGUUGUAGUU